UGCGCGUCCUACCAUGCAAGUUCGAGCGAUUCUCUUAGGAGAAGAGCGGCGGACGGGUGAGUAACGCGUGGGUAACCUGCCCUGUUACACACGGAUAACAUACCGAAAGGUAUGCUAAUACGGGAUAACAUAUUUUGAUGGCAUCAUCGAAAUAUCAAAGCUCCGGCGGUACAGGAUGGACCCGCGUCUGAUUAGCUAGUUGGUGAGGUAAUGGCUCACCAAGGCGACGAUCAGUAGCCGACCUGAGAGGGUGAUCGGCCACAUUGGAACUGAGACACGGUCCAAACUCCUACGGGAGGCAGCAGUGGGGAAUAUUGCACAAUGGGCGAAAGCCUGAUGCAGCAACGCCGCGUGAGCGAUGAAGGCCUUCGGGUCGUAAAGCUCUGUCCUCAAGGAAGAUAAUGACGGUACUUGAGGAGGAAGCCCCGGCUAACUACGUGCCAGCAGCCGCGGUAAUACGUAGGGGGCUAGCGUUAUCCGGAAUUACUGGGCGUAAAGGGUGCGUAGGUGGUUUUUUAAGUCAGAAGUGAAAGGCUACGGCUCAACCGUAGUAAGCUUUUGAAACUGAGAAACUUGAGUGCAGGAGAGGAGAGUAGAAUUCCUAGUGUAGCGGUGAAAUGCGUAGAUAUUAGGAGGAAUACCAGUUGCGAAGGCGGCUCUCUGGACUGUAACUGACACUGAGGCACGAAAGCGUGGGGAGCAAACAGGAUUAGAUACCCUGGUAGUCCACGCCGUAAACGAUGAGUACUAGGUGUCGGGGGUUACCCCCCUCGGUGCCGCAGCUAACGCAUUAAGUACUC
RNAcentral lists this ribosomal RNA (800 nucleotides) under uncultured bacterium. Its description in RNAcentral is "bacterial SSU rRNA". It matches the Rfam family "Bacterial small subunit ribosomal RNA", at positions 43 to 869 of the family's 1533-position model. The record is from RNAcentral.